CCUAGGGGUGGCUGCAGUGGGGAAUAUUGGACAAUGGGCGAAAGCCUGAUCCAGCCAUGCCGCGUGUGUGAAGAAGGCCUUCGGGUUGUAAAGCACUUUCAGUGGGGAAGAAAGCCUUGGGGCUAAUACCCUCGAGGAAGGACAUCACCCACAGAAGAAGCACCGGCUAACUCCGUGCCAGCAGCCGCGGUAAUACGGAGGGUGCGAGCGUUAAUCGGAAUUACUGGGCGUAAAGCGCGCGUAGGCGGUCUGAUAAGCCGGUUGUGAAAGCCCCGGGCUCAACCUGGGAACGGCAUCCGGAACUGUCAGGCUAGAGUGCAGGAGAGGAAGGUAGAAUUCCCGGUGUAGCAGUGAAAUGCGUAGAGAUCGGGAGGAAUACCAGUGGCGAAGGCGGCCUUCUGGACUGACACUGACGCUGAGGUGCGAAAGCGUGGGUAGCAAACAGGAUUAGAUACCCGAGUAGUC
Molecule: ribosomal RNA, 465 nt
Filed under: Vreelandella stevensii
Lineage: Bacteria; Pseudomonadati; Pseudomonadota; Gammaproteobacteria; Oceanospirillales; Halomonadaceae
Description: partial 16S ribosomal RNA
Rfam family: Bacterial small subunit ribosomal RNA
Source: RNAcentral